Peromyscus leucopus (white-footed mouse) is the source of this 2079-nucleotide long non-coding RNA. RefSeq lists it as uncharacterized. Lineage: Eukaryota; Metazoa; Chordata; Mammalia; Rodentia; Cricetidae. The record is from RefSeq and is a predicted model, not a curated record. The transcript has 2 exons.
ACUCACAGCGAUCCGCCUGGCUCUGCCUCCCAAGUGCUGGGAUUAAAGGCGUGCGCCACCACCGCCCGGCAUCUUCCUGAAUUUCUAAAAGCAAUUACAGAAAGUUGUGGGGGGGAAACCUCACCUAGUUCCUUGGCAUGAGCUUGACUUAACUGGCCCUGUCUCUAGCCCUGUAAAUAUUUUUAAAGCCUUUAUAUGUCAUCUUAACAUAAGGAAAUAGGGAAGAACUCAUACAUGAGGAAAACCCUAUUCAUGUGAUUUAGACAUCACAGUUGUCUUCAGUUUCAAAGAAAAAAACUCUUGUUUAAUCUCUUUUUUCAUCAUAGGCUUGAAGCAAGUAAAUUAUUUAGCAUGUGCACUCAAGUCUGAUGGUGGAGAUCACAGUAUCAUGGCUUGUGUUUUGAAGCUUUUGGAGUAGCUGUUGACGAAUUCUGUAUAUAUGACAAAUCCCGUUACUGAAGUUUAUUUGGUGGUUCAUACAUUCAUUUUCUGGCUUCUGUUCAUCUAUUGUGCUUUCAAUUGGUAACAGGUAUUGUUCUGCUGAUGUGUAUAGGAUAGAAUGCCCAUCAUCUAAGGGGUCCAUUGUUUAUACAUGGUUUGUGAUCCAGCCUGGCGUGGAUAUCAGUAAACAGUCAAGGCUACAUUUGAACAGAUGUUUCUCAUGUGUCAGCCUUCUGAGUACAAGUCCAACAAUAGAAGAUGUGCCUCCAAUGUGUCCUGUUUUGUCAAUACUUUUUAAAACUGUUAAUAUUCAAAUGCUUAAUAGAAGAGAAUGUCAGAAACAUUAAAAUACCUCAUCUGUGUAUUCAAAGUAGCAUUUUCAUCUAUCUGGUAGAGAUAUAAUAAAGUAGAAUAAUCAGCAAUCAACUGUGUAUCUCAUAGUUUGAUGUGCUAUAGAUAUGUAUAUAUUAUUUGAUGUUCCUACUUUAUGAACCCAUGUUUAUCCGCUUGGCACUCCCUCUUGAAGUAUUGCCUCCUAAGGGAGUUAUCUAGAGAUGCCAGAUAAUGUCAGGGAAUUGAGAUUUAUUUUAGAAAAAAAAUGUGUGUGUGUGUGUGUGCUGAUUAUGGGUUUGUAGGGCAUAGCAGACAUGUUGAGACCUGAAGAAAACUUGAGAAAAUUCUUUUGGUCCUCUUUGUAUGGUGAUGAAAUCAGAUUGCCAGCCUUGCACACCACAGACAUUUUUUACCCUAAUGAAGCAUCUCACUGGUACUUGACUAUGAUUAGUAGAGACAUUGUAUCAAUAAAAUGUUAUCUAUUAAAAUUAUAAACAUUUAAAGAUAGAGGAACAUAGAAUAGUUUGAAUAAUUAAUCCUAUUUGCAAAUGAAUAUGAUAUAUUGCCAUUUUUGGAUUGUAUUAGUUUCUUCUGAGAAGUAAACACUUGUUCAUAACGCUUUCUCAGAACCACAAAUGAAUUCCAGGGAAUUGUCUCAGUGAGUAAAUUUGGUUGUUACUAAGCCUGGUUACCUGAGUUCAGUCUCUUGGAGACCCAUAGUGCUCCUACAAGUCUUUCUUUUGUUGUAUACUUGGGCUGUGGCAUAUGCACACCCAAACACCAGCAUAUAGAAAAACAAUGUUAAAACCCAAAUAAGGCCAAUGCGGUCACUUGCAGCCAAACUUGACUCCCUGCAUUUGAUCACUAGAACUCACAUAGGUGAAGGAGUAAUUACACCUGUACGUUGUUCUGUGGGUGUCACAUGCAUACUGUGGCAUAAGUGUGUACACACUGUUAAAACAGUUUUAAAAGUUGAAGUCAGGAAAGUGAAGAGAAUAACCUAAAUAUUGAGAACAAAUAAAAUUACUUGCCGGUUGAAAUUAAUACAUUGUAGAAUUUUAAGUAGAAUUACUGUUCAUCAAUACAAUGAUUGUUCCUGUUUAAAAUUUGCACUAUAUUUUUUAUUCUCUGAUUCAAACAUAGGUCAUUAAAACAAUAUAUCCCAGCUGAGCAUAGUGGUUCAUGUGACUGCAGCACUUGGGAUACAAAGUCUAGAGGAUCUCUCUGAAUUUUAGGAAGGUGUGGUUGAGAUAGUGAAUCCCAGGACAGCUGUUGCUACAUAGAAAGAUCCUUUCUCAAAAAAAA